Long non-coding RNA from Erinaceus europaeus (western European hedgehog), 297 nucleotides. RefSeq lists it as uncharacterized. NCBI's taxonomy places the organism in Eukaryota, Metazoa, Chordata, Mammalia, Eulipotyphla, Erinaceidae. The transcript has 2 exons. The record is from RefSeq and is a predicted model, not a curated record.
CUUCCUGUCUCCGCUGGUCCGUCCUGCGAGUGCGUCCCCCCGCCGGCGGCGAACGCGUCCUGGGUUCCGCGGGUGGCGGCGCACCGGGUGGCGCACGCAGGACGGCGCGCAAGCGCCCGGGUUCGAGCCCCGGCCCCCACCUUCGGGGUGGGGCAGCAGGUGAAGCCGGGCAGCAGGAGUGAACCACUGGCUUCUGGUGAGAACAGGGUUUGAACCUGAAGUUGAGUCCACAUGCAGAGCCACUACACCAGGUCAGCAUCUGCAGACGUCCACUUCUGUGGGCUUCCUCCUGGGCUC